Molecule: long non-coding RNA, 1265 nt
Organism: Astatotilapia calliptera (eastern happy)
Lineage: Eukaryota; Metazoa; Chordata; Actinopteri; Cichliformes; Cichlidae
Source: Ensembl
UGUUGUAGUGUGCAAGCAGUAGAACUCCCACUUACUUUGUCUGCAGUAUGAACAAAAUAUUUCCAGUCUGCUUUUUUUUUUAGUAUUAAUGAAAGCGAGAUGGCAUUUGGAGUUGGGCGAUGUGCUAUUUUCUUUUUGCUGAGAUGUAAAACGCUUCGAUGAUAAUGGUGGAAAAAGAUUAAUGAAAAGUCUCAACAUGCUUGCAAUGAUGCAGACUUAAAAUGUUUGCACCUGAGAAAGAAUCCAGAAAGAAAUCAUACUUACCUUUGUGUGCCGCCCCUUCAAUCAGCAGUUUGCUAAGCAGUAAUACCAGAAAAAAAGACUUAAAAUAGGUGAGUGUUGUUACAUGUUCUUAUAAACAAUAGGCAUGCAGUUAUGAAGGCUGAUACUCAUUUUUGCUAUAAAUCAAAUUUAGCAUUAGUUUAAGUCAACUUUUGCACACUCAAAGGAGCUUUAGACUGCUGUUGUAAGCACUAUAUAUAUAUAUAUAUAAAUAGAGGGAGUGAGAGAGAGAGAGAGAUUUUUAUUGAUUUUUUUUUUUUUUACAAUUUUUCAAUACAAACAAUUUAAAUUACAUUAAUAUAUGCACUUUUCUGGGGUUUCUGACAUUUUCUGGCAUUGCCACAAACUGGAUAAUCCAGCUGUCAACAGUUUGUACAACGCAAGAGCCAUUUCCUGGGUUCAUCAUUGUUUGGAGCAGAUUAGUAGAGGGUAGUGGAUCUCAUAUGGCCCGGUCAGAGGCCAUCAUUGAAGGGCUUAACGGAUUAAUGUUGCUUCACGCUCUCACUCAUUCUCUCUAAUAUUCAAUCAAAUUGUGUGCUGGGUGAACUCAUGCAGCACACUCUGUACAAACAUGUCAUAUCACUGUAGUUUAACAAUACACAUCUAUUUGCUGAACUCUGUACAAGCACAUAAUACAUAUUUCUGCCAGAUGGCUUGCUUAAGGAUUUCCCUGACUCCUGUUUAGCACUCAGACGUACCAGUAUUACAGCAUUUGUUGAACUACUGUGUAAAGCUAUCUGUGGCAACUGAGUCAUGGUGUAGUAGUGUCCAUGUGCUUGAGGAGGAUGGGUCAAAGGCUAAAUCCCUGCUUAAAGACUCCGUAGUGAGCCUUUUCUAUCAACAGACAGGCCAUUUCAGUAUGUGUUGGAUAAGAUGUAAUUUCCCAUCUGCUUUAUGGCUAUUUCUGAUCCCUGGGCUCUUGUCAGCAAACUCCUCAGGACAGAUAUCAUCAGUAAUAUAAGGAGGACUCUGGCAAUACUUAG